RNAcentral lists this small nuclear RNA (107 nucleotides) under Myotis davidii. The record is from RNAcentral. Lineage: Eukaryota; Metazoa; Chordata; Mammalia; Chiroptera; Vespertilionidae.
GUGUUUGCUUCGACAGCACAUAUACUAAAAUUGGAGCAAUACAGAGAAGAUUAGCAUGGCCCCUGCGCAAGGAUGACACGCAAAGUCGUGAAGCGUUCCAUAUUUAA